CCGAGAGGGACGGCAACCAGGGGAGAUGAAACAUCUCAGUACCCUGAGGAAAAGAAAGAAACAUCGAUUCCCUUAGUAGUGGCGAGCGAACGGGGAAGAGCCCAAACCCAGUAGAUGGAGAAGCCCACAGGCGUUGUCUACUGGGGGUAGAGGGAAGAUGCUGGGAGGAGCUGUGGAUCCUCCGGAGAGUGAAAAAAUGUAUCUCUAGGCGAACAGUCUGGAAAGGCUGGCCAUAGAAGGUGAAAGCCCUGUAGCCGAAAGGGAUACAUCUCUCUGGGCAUCUAUCCCAAGUACUACGGGGCACGAGGAACCCUGUAGGAAUCAGGGAGGACCAUCUCCCAAGGCUAAAUACUCCCUGGCUACCGAUAGCGCAAUAGUACCGUGAGGGAAAGGUGAAAUAGAACCCCGGGAGGGGAGUGAAAUAGAACCUGAAACCGUGUGUCCACAAGCAGUAGGAGAGCUAUGCGGAGGGAUUUAAGCCCUUCGAAAGCUCGACUGCGUGCCUGUUGAAGAAUGAGCCGGCGAGUUACUACCAGCAGCGAGGUUAAGGGGAGAGGACCCCGGAGCCGAAGCGAAAGCGAGUCUGAAGAGGGCGAAUAGUUGCUGGUAGUAGACCCGAAACCAGGUGAUCUACCCAUGGCCAGGGUGAAGCGUGCGUAAAAGCACGUGGAGGUCCGAACCGGUUGGUGUUGAAAAACCAUCGGAUGAGCUGUGGGUAGGGGAGAAAUUCCAAUCGAACCUGGUGAUAGCUGGUUCUCCCCGAAAUUGUUUUAGGGCGAGCCCUAACCAGUAAAUUACGAGGGUAGAGCACUGUAUGGGCUAGGGGCCUUUUCAGGCUACCAAACCCAUGCAAACUCCGAAUCUCGUAAUUGUAAGGUUAGGAGUGAGACUGUGGGGGAUAAGCUCCAUAGUCGAGAGGGGAACAGCCCAGACCGCCAGCUAAGGUCCCAAAAUUAGGCUAAGUGGCAAAGGAAGUGGAGUUCCAAAGACAGCCAGGAUGUUGGCUUAGAAGCAGCCAUCAUUUAAAGAGUGCGUAAUAGCUCACUGGUCGAGGGACUCUGCGCCGAAAAUUCAAUGGGACUAAGCCUAAUACCGAAGCUGCGGGAUUAGCCUACCUUAGUAGGCUAAUCGGUAGGGGAGCGUUCUGCGUUAGGUAGAAGGCGUACCGGUAAGGAGCGCUGGACGAGGCAGAAGUGAGAAUGCCGGCAUAAGUAGCGAAAAAGAGAGUGAGAAUCUCUCUCGCCGCAAGCCUAAGGUUUCCUGGGUAAAGUUCGUCUGCCCAGGGUUAGGCGGGCCUAAGCCGAUGGAGAGAUCCGUAGGCGAUGGAUAGCCGGUUAAUAUUCCGGCCCCAGCUAUACCUGACAAAGACCGAAGGGGUGACGCAGGAGGAUAGGUAGAGCGUGCGAAUGGUAGAGCACGUCCAAGCCAGUAGGGUGCCAGAUAGGCAAAUCCGUCUGGCGGAAAGCCCGAGAGGUGAUGGGGAGGGCCGAAAGGCUCGAAGCUACCGAAUCCACACUGACGAGAAAAACCUCUAAGGGAGGUAUAGCUGACCGUACCGCAAACUGACACAGGUAGGCGGGGAGAAGAUCCUAAGGCGCGCGAGAGAACCCUCGCUAAGGAACUCGGCAAAAUGGCCCCGUAACUUCGGGAGAAGGGGUGCCCCAUUAGGGUGAAGGGUGAAACACCUGGAGCCUGAAGGGGUCGCAGUAAAGAGGCCUGGGCGACUGUUUAGCAAAAACACAGGUCUCUGCUAAGGAGGAAUCCGAUGUAUAGGGGCUGACGCCUGCCCAGUGCUGGAAGGUUAAGGGGAGGUGUUAGCGAAAGCGAAGCACCGAACCGAAGCCCCAGUGAACGGCGGCCGUAACUAUAACGGUCCUAAGGUAGCGAAAUUCCUUGUCGGGCAAGUUCCGACCCGCACGAAAGGCGUAACGACUUGGGCGCUGUCUCGGCGAGGGGCUCGGCGAAAUUGCAAUAUCCGCGAAGAUGCGGAUUACCCACGACUGGACGGAAAGACCCCGUGGAGCUUUACUGCAACUUGGCAUUGGAUUUUGGUGAUGCAUGUACAGGAUAGGUGGGAGGCUGGGAAGCAGGAUCGCCAGGUCCUGUGGAGCCGACCUUGGGAUACCACCCUUGUAUCACUGAAGUUCUAACCCGUGUCCUAAAAGGGAGCGGGGACAGUGCCUGGUGGGCAGUUUGACUGGGGCGGUCGCCUCCUAAAAGGUAACGGAGGCGUCCAAAGGUUCCCUCAGCACGGUUGGGAAUCGUGCGACGAGUGCAAGGGCAUAAGGGAGCCUGACUGUGAGAGAGACAUCUCGAGCAGAGCCGAAAGGCGGGCCUAGUGACCUGACGGUACCGAAUGGAAGGGCCGUCAAUUAACGGAUAAAAGUUACCCCGGGGAUAACAGGCUGAUCUCCCCCGAUAGUCCACAUAGACGGGGAGGUUUGGCACCUCGAUGUCGGCUCAUCGCAUCCUGGGGCUGAAGAAGGUCCCAAGGGUUGGGCUGUUCGCCCAUUAAAGCGGUACGUGAGCUGGGUUCAGAACGUCGUGAGACAGUUCGGUCCCUAUCCGUCGUGGGCGUAGGAUACUUGAGAGGGGCUGCUCCUAGUACGAGAGGACCGGAGCGGACAGACCUCUGGUGUACCAGUUGUUCCGCCAGGAGCAGAAGCUGGGUAGCCAUGUCUGGUCGGGAUAAGCGCUGAAGGCAUCUAAGCGCUAAGCCCACCUCAAGAUGAGGUAUCCCACCGGGGAAACCGGGUAAGGUCCCAGGGAGAAUACCUGGUAGAUAGGCUGGAGGUGUAAGGGCGGUAACGCCUUGAGCCGACCAGUACUAAUAGACCGAGGUCUUGAUAUU
RNAcentral lists this ribosomal RNA (2851 nucleotides) under hot springs metagenome. RNAcentral's name for it is "bacterial LSU rRNA". It matches the Rfam family "Bacterial large subunit ribosomal RNA". The record is from RNAcentral.